GGCACCAGCACCUGCCGCGCCGGGCGGAGGGGCUGCAGGUGCUCCCCCAGAGCCGUGCUUGUCGGAGGGUCUUCGCCCGGAUCUGUUCCGGCGUCCUAUUGAGAGCCCUUGUCUGCCCGUCUGUCUGAUUUUGUUUCGGUGGUUUGCGGUAUAUGGAAAGGGCGCAGAAACUCAUGGGUUUUUUUCGAGAACAGCCCUUGCAGCCUUUUUGCAUCGCCAUAAGGCCCCGCACCAGAAAAUGAUGGGUGUGAUGAAAUACAAGAAGUCAAGUACCGCCAACUGUGGUAGCUGAGCCCUGAUGUGGUAACGCCCUGCACUCUGAUUUUUCAAUUUACCAGACUCUGCUGGCAAGGAGGUGCACAAGAAGCUGGGAGGUGGCACGAUCAGGACAGCUGACCCCAAGUAGCCAAAUGGAUAUUUCAUACCAUAGAACAUCAUGCCCAGUAUGGAGACUGGAAGGAGUUGGCUGAGAGGAGGGGAUCAAUGCUCAGGCAUUGGUCAUCAGAGCCACUUAGAGGUGAUGUGGGACGAGGAGUAUUUGCAAGACAGUACUCAGAAACAAUCUGGAAGUGGCUUUAGGAAAGUAUUUGCCCUGGAAAGAAGAGACAAGUAUUCAGCCACCAUCUGGAAACAAACUGUAAUGAGGCACCUUCUCUAUUUAAAAAAAAAAAGUAAAAUUAGGACACAGGAGUGACAAUUGAACCCAACAAGUGAGAACUGUGCAUGAGAAAGGACUGCAGGAUGAGAUGUGGAGACAUUUGUCCAAUGUAGAGGAUUUUGACCUGUGACACUCAGACUUCUGAAGACUGCAAAAUCCUUCUAAAGAAUGAAAAAAAUAGGUAAUUAAGAAAAGCAAGAUGAUUAUUUGUCAGUGAGCUUGAAUUGUUCUAUGUGCUACUGAAAAAUGACUAAGCUUCCAAAAGUAGAGCAGAUUGAAAACCACAUCUCUAGCAUGCUAGCUGAUCCUUGUGGCAUCAUUUGAACUGAUACUCUCAUUGGUAUAGCUGUAUUCACUUACAAGGUCAUCUUUUGCCUGUGAAGCCCUUUUAUGAACUAGAAUACUUUGAGUUUAUUUCAGGUAGGACUGCUAGUUUCAAAUUAUUUUUUUUUUU
Colius striatus (speckled mousebird) is the source of this 1112-nucleotide long non-coding RNA. RefSeq lists it as uncharacterized. Lineage: Eukaryota; Metazoa; Chordata; Aves; Coliiformes; Coliidae. The record is from RefSeq and is a predicted model, not a curated record. The transcript has 4 exons.